UACAGAGGUCUCAAGCGUUGUUCGGAUUCAUUGGGCGUAAAGGGUGCGUAGGCGGCGCGGUAAGUCGGAUGUGAAAUCUCGGAGCUUAACUCCGAAACUGCAUUCGAUACUGCCGUGCUUGAGGACCGGAGAGGAGACUGGAAUUUACGGUGUAGCGGUGAAAUGCGUAGAUAUCGUAAGGAAGACCAGUGGCGAAGGCGGGUCUCUGGACAGUUCCUGACGCUGAGGCACGAAGGCCAGGGGAGCAAACGGG
This 253-nucleotide ribosomal RNA is filed under the name uncultured bacterium. Its description in RNAcentral is "partial 16S ribosomal RNA". It matches the Rfam family "Bacterial small subunit ribosomal RNA", at positions 524 to 776 of the family's 1533-position model. The record is from RNAcentral.